GAUGAAGAACGUAGCGAAAUGCGAUACGUAGUGUGAAUUGCAGAAUUCCGUGAAUCAUCAAAUCUUUGAACGCACAUUGCGCCCGCGAGUAUUCUCGCGGGCAUGCCUGUCCGAGCGUCAUUUCAACCCUCAGGGCCCGCCUGCUUCGGCAGGCGCGGCGCUGGUGUUGGGGAUCGGCCUAACCGCCGUCCCCCAAAUACAGUGGCGGUCUCGCUGCAGCCUCCCCUGCGUAGUAGCAACACUCGCAUGCGGAGCGCGGCGCGGCCACGCCGUAAAACCCCCGACUUUCUAAACGUUGACCUCGGAUCAGGUAGGAAUACCCGCUGAACUUAAGCGUAUCAAUAAGCGGAGGA
This 353-nucleotide unclassified non-coding RNA is filed under the name soil metagenome. Its description in RNAcentral is "partial contains 5.8S ribosomal RNA, internal transcribed spacer 2, and large subunit ribosomal RNA". The stretch from base 1 to 120 matches the Rfam family "5.8S ribosomal RNA", at positions 35 to 154 of the family's 154-position model. The record is from RNAcentral.